This 1030-nucleotide ribosomal RNA is filed under the name uncultured bacterium. RNAcentral describes it as "bacterial SSU rRNA". It matches the Rfam family "Bacterial small subunit ribosomal RNA", at positions 46 to 1062 of the family's 1533-position model. The record is from RNAcentral.
GCUUAACACAUGCAAGUCGAACGGCAGCACAGCCAAGCUUGCUUGGUGGGUGGCGAGUGGCGGACGGGUGAGGAAUACGUCGGAAUCUGCCCUGUUGUGGGGGAUAACGUAGGGAAACUUACGCUAAUACCGCAUAAGACAGUGAUGUGAAAGCGGGGGACCUGCGAGGGCCUCGCGCGAUGGGAUGAGCCGACGUCGGAUUAGCUUGUUGGUGGGGUAAAGGCCUACCAAGGCGACGAUCCGUAGCUGGUCUGAGAGGAUGAUCAGCCACACUGGGACUGAGACACGGCCCAGACUCCUACGGGAGGCAGCAGUGGGGAAUAUUGGACAAUGGGCGCAAGCCUGAUCCAGCAAUGCCGCGUGUGUGAAGAAGGCCUUCGGGUUGUAAAGCACUUUUAUCAGGAACGAAAAGGUGUCGGCGAAUACCCGGCACUGCUGACGGUACCUGAGGAAUAAGCACCGGCUAACUUCGUGCCAGCAGCCGCGGUAAUACGAAGGGUGCAAGCGUUAAUCGGAAUUACUGGGCGUAAAGGGUGUGUAGGUGGCCUGUUAAGUCUGUCGUGAAAGCCCUGGGCUCAACCUGGGAAUGGCGGUGGAUACUGGCGGGCUCGAGUACGGUAGAGGGUGGUGGAAUUCCCGGUGUAGCGGUGAAAUGCGUAGAGAUCGGGAGGAACAUCAGUGGCGAAGGCGGCCACCUGGACCAGUACUGACACUGAGACACGAAAGCGUGGGGAGCAAACAGGAUUAGAUACCCUGGUAGUCCACGCCCUAAACGAUGCGAACUGGACGUUGGUUGCAACUUGGCAAUCAGUGUCGAAGCUAACGCGUUAAGUUCGCCGCCUGGGGAGUACGGUCGCAAGACUGAAACUCAAAGGAAUUGACGGGGGCCCGCACAAGCGGUGGAGUAUGUGGUUUAAUUCGAUGCAACGCGAAGAACCUUACCUGGCCUUGACAUGUCUGGAAUCCUGCAGAGAUGCGGGAGUGCCUUCGGGAAUCAGAACACAGGUGCUGCAUGGCUGUCGUCAGCUCG